CUUUUACAAUGAAGAGUUUGAUCCUGGCUCAGGAUGAACGCUAGCUACAGGCUUAACACAUGCAAGUCGAGGGGCAGCAUUUUAGUUUGCUUGCAAACUAAAGAUGGCGACCGGCGCACGGGUGAGUAACACGUAUCCAACCUGCCGAUAACUCGGGGAUAGCCUUUCGAAAGAAAGAUUAAUAUCCGAUAGUAUAUUUUCUCCGCAUGGCGAGAAUAUUAAAGAAUUUCGGUUAUCGAUGGGGAUGCGUUCCAUUAGUUUGUUGGCGGGGUAACGGCCCACCAAGACUACGAUGGAUAGGGGUUCUGAGAGGAAGGUCCCCCACAUUGGAACUGAGACACGGUCCAAACUCCUACGGGAGGCAGCAGUGAGGAAUAUUGGUCAAUGGACGAGAGUCUGAACCAGCCAAGUAGCGUGAAGGAUGACUGCCCUAUGGGUUGUAAACUUCUUUUAUAUGGGAAUAAAGUAUUCCACGUGUGGGAUUUUGUAUGUACCAUAUGAAUAAGGAUCGGCUAACUCCGUGCCAGCAGCCGCGGUAAUACGGAGGAUCCGAGCGUUAUCCGGAUUUAUUGGGUUUAAAGGGAGCGUAGGUGGAUUGUUAAGUCAGUUGUGAAAGUUUGCGGCUCAACCGUAAAAUUGCAGUUGAAACUGGCAGUCUUGAGUACAGUAGAGGUGGGCGGAAUUCGUGGUGUAGCGGUGAAAUGCUUAGAUAUCACGAAGAACUCCGAUUGCGAAGGCAGCUCACUAGACUGCAACUGACACUGAUGCUCGAAAGUGUGGGUAUCAAACAGGAUUAGAUACCCUGGUAGUCCACACAGUAAACGAUGAAUACUCGCUGUUUGCGAUAUACAGUAAGCGGCCAAGCGAAAGCAUUAAGUAUUCCACCUGGGGAGUACGCCGGCAACGGUGAAACUCAAAGGAAUUGACGGGGGCCCGCACAAGCGGAGGAACAUGUGGUUUAAUUCGAUGAUACGCGAGGAACCUUACCCGGGCUUAAAUUGCAUUUGAAUAAUCUGGAAACAGGUUAGCCGCAAGGCAAAUGUGAAGGUGCUGCAUGGUUGUCGUCAGCUCGUGCCGUGAGGUGUCGGCUUAAGUGCCAUAACGAGCGCAACCCUUAUCUUUAGUUACUAACAGGUCAUGCUGAGGACUCUAGAGAGACUGCCGUCGUAAGAUGUGAGGAAGGUGGGGAUGACGUCAAAUCAGCACGGCCCUUACGUCCGGGGCUACACACGUGUUACAAUGGGGGGUACAGAAGGCAGCUACCUGGCGACAGGAUGCUAAUCCCAAAAACCUCUCUCAGUUCGGAUCGAAGUCUGCAACCCGACUUCGUGAAGCUGGAUUCGCUAGUAAUCGCGCAUCAGCCAUGGCGCGGUGAAUACGUUCCCGGGCCUUGUACACACCGCCCGUCAAGCCAUGAAAGCCGGGGGUACCUGAAGUACGUAACCGCAAGGAGCGUCCUAGGGUAAAACUGGUAAUUGGGGCUAAGUCGUAACAAGGUAGCCGUACCGGAAGGUGCGGCUGGAACACCUCCUUU
RNAcentral lists this ribosomal RNA (1534 nucleotides) under Salmonella enterica subsp. enterica serovar Typhimurium. RNAcentral's name for it is "bacterial SSU rRNA". It matches the Rfam family "Bacterial small subunit ribosomal RNA". RNAcentral also lists the same sequence under 1 other name. Lineage: Bacteria; Pseudomonadati; Pseudomonadota; Gammaproteobacteria; Enterobacterales; Enterobacteriaceae. The record is from RNAcentral.